UUUUUUUGGAUUUGGAUAUGUAUUCAACUCUAUCAUUAAGGAUUUAAUGAAAUUCCUACCUUUUGACAAAAAAGAAAAAGAUCUAACUGAAUUGGAAUUCAGUUUGCUCACAAUUAUGCUUUUUCGUUUUGGUUUCAUAUUCAGUUUCCUUUUGGCAAUUUUAAUUUGGUUCAAUCCUUUUACAAUUUUAAUAUUUUUGUUUUAACUCCAAUUUUUAGUACUGUUCUCAACCAAUUUGAUUCUCGCUGAACUUGAUUUGGUUCCAGUUUUCAAUUUUGAUUUGGUUUGGAUCAAUCCAAAUUCAAUUUUUAUUUUUGAUUCCAAUUAUAGUUUAACCUGAUUUUGAUUUCAG
Molecule: unclassified non-coding RNA, 352 nt
Filed under: Hevea brasiliensis (rubber tree)
Lineage: Eukaryota; Viridiplantae; Streptophyta; Magnoliopsida; Malpighiales; Euphorbiaceae
Source: RNAcentral